UUGUUUCAGGUUCCACCGAUAAUUGUUGCAAUAAUUUAGUUCCACAUUCCUUUACAACACCCGAGGCUGGUGCCAUUGGUUUGCUGCGCUGGUACUGGGCCCUGGGCAGGGUGCCUGGGCUGCUCCAAGGCUCUCCUGGGUCGCAGGAGUGUCCACCAGCACCUUAAGGGUGUGCUUCGGGGCAAUUGUUCUGUUUUCCAUAACAUUGAAAUUGACGGGGGAUCAUCUUGCUUUUGAGCAGGUGCCUUUACCCCUCUGAAUUUGGACAGCAUCAUCCAUGUAUCCCAGAAAUAUUCUCAUGUCACUGUAUCUACCAAUGAGUUACAGUCUUUAAAGUUGCUUUUAGCUUUUAAAAUAGCUAAAGCUUUUUGAGAAGUUUGGCUUGCUUUCAUCAUCCUGCCUCCAGAGAUUCCUUCUGUGGGAAAGAGAAAAGGUUCUCUUCUGUCUGAAAGUGUCAUUGAGGGUCACUUCUCUAUUUAUUCCUGGUCUGUAGGAGGUCCCAGUUAAACAUUCUUACUGGCACAAAAUGAAAUGCAUCCAUCUGAAGUGACUGGGAGGCUGAUGAGCCCAUUAGUUUUAGAGUCCAACCAAAAUAUGUUUGAUUUUUUGUUGAUUGUCUUCAAGUUGCAAUAAGGAUUCCAAUUUGUGUUACUUUAAUAAGUUGAUUUAAUGGAUAUAGAGACAGACAUCUCAUGACCCAGGGGCAGGCCUUGAGGAUUUUGGAGCUGCUUAUUUGCUACGCUAGCAUCAUUAUCCUUUGAUUAAUAAGAGGUGGGCUUGUCUUGGACAGCAGGCUGCUUGGUGCAAGCAUGCAGGAAUCUCAGUAUGGGUUUCCAGGACUGUAGCCAAAGGCUAUGCCCCUCUUGCCUGAAGGGAUCUCACCCUCCCACACAUUUGUGCAUCCCUUCUGCCCAAUGUGCCCUCUGGAGCCCUUGCAGCCCAGCAUCGAGUCCUGUUUGACAGGAGGGUCACUGCCAGCCCAGGCUGGGCCAGGCUGUGCUGCUGCUCUCACACAGUGCAGAGCCACGCUAGUGUUUCACCUGAGUGUCAGAGUGCAGAGUGGCCAGGUAGUAUUGCUCCUGCCUCACAGGGAAUAUUGCCUUUUGUAAUAGCUGCACAGACCAGGUGAUCAGUGGGGUGAGGGCUGUUUUGGUGUGUGGAUUGUGUUAGCCAUACAGGGAAUACAGACAUCUGCUUUGGAUGAUUUAAAUUGGAAAUACCUGCAUGGAAGUCUGGGAUCUUCUUAGCAUAAAUGGUUGGAUCAGACUAGAGGAUUUCACACCUGCUUGGUAAUUCAGCUUCUAGUCAUGUUAUUUGUGAACUAACUCUAGUAAUAUAUUUAGAAAGUGAAGUCUAAAUUGGGUUGCUAUUAUUUAAUGUUUCAAAGCUACCGGGUAGCUUGUAUAAUGUGCAGAUUCAGCAGUCACCAGUUGUGUUUCUGAAAAUAAUGAAUCUUAAAUUUUAUUUUCACUCUUAGGUGCCUCAUUUGGUUGUGUGCUAUGUUAUACAAUUGUUACAAUACUGUUUGUGUAGGCACUACUGCAGCAGCACCUUUAAAACUGCUGGAUUUAAGAAAAGGAGGGUAUGCUCUGUAUGUUAAAGAUUGUAAGAGCAGAGAUCUCCAGGGCUGUUGGGUUUUCUUUUUUCUUUUUUUUUUUUUUUUUGCUAUAAGAAUUAAGUGGAAUUUGAGACAUUUCUGAAGCAAAAUAUUUCUAUAUGUAUAAAAAUAUCCUUGUUAAAAUUGAUAGAUGUAGUAGGUCAUUUUAACAUCAGUGCCUAGACUCACACAGGAAAUGGACUGCCUGUAAGCUAUAGCCAUAUAAUAAAUAGUUGUGAAAUCAUUA
Passer domesticus (house sparrow) is the source of this 1844-nucleotide long non-coding RNA. RefSeq lists it as uncharacterized. Lineage: Eukaryota; Metazoa; Chordata; Aves; Passeriformes; Passeridae. The record is from RefSeq and is a predicted model, not a curated record. The transcript has 2 exons.